RNAcentral lists this ribosomal RNA (292 nucleotides) under uncultured bacterium. Its description in RNAcentral is "partial 16S ribosomal RNA". It matches the Rfam family "Bacterial small subunit ribosomal RNA", at positions 505 to 796 of the family's 1533-position model. The record is from RNAcentral.
GUGCCAGCCGCCGCGGUAAGACGAACCGUGCGAACGUUGUUCGGAUUCACUGGGCUUAAAGGGCGCGUAGGCGGCUCGCCAAGUCGGGGGUGAAAUCGUUCGGCUCAACCGGACAACAGCUCCCGAUACUGGCGGGCUGGAGGGAGGUAGGGGCGACUGGAACUUCCGGUGGAGCGGUGAAAUGCGUAGAUAUCGGAAGGAACGCCGGUGGCGAAAGCGAGUCGCUGGACCUCUUCUGACGCUGAGGCGCGAAAGCCAGGGGAGCAAACGGGAUUAGAUACCCCCGUAGUCC